CUACUGGCCGCUCCAGUGGGGAAUAUUGGACAAUGGGGGAAACCCUGAUCCAGCAAUGCCGCGUGUGUGAAGAAGGCCUGCGGGUUGUAAAGCACUUUCGGUUGGGAGGACUGCUUCUAGCACUAAUAUUGUUGGAAGUUGACGUUACCUUCAGAAGAAGCACCGGCUAACUCCGUGCCAGCAGCCGCGGUAAUACGGGGGUGCAGGCGUUAAUCGGAAUUACUGGGCGUAAAGCGCGCGUAGGCGGCUAGAUCAGUCGGGUGUGAAAGCCCCGGGCUUAACCUGGGAACUGCAUCCGAUACUGUCUAGCUUGAGUACAGGAGAGGAGAGUGGAAUUCCACAUGUAGCGGUGAAAUGCGUAGAUAUGUGGAGGAACACCAAUGGCGAAGGCAGCUCUCUGGCCUGAUACUGACGCUGAGGUGCGAAAGCGUGGGGAGCAAACAGGAUUAGAUACCCCUGUAGUC
This 464-nucleotide ribosomal RNA is filed under the name uncultured bacterium. RNAcentral's name for it is "partial 16S ribosomal RNA". It matches the Rfam family "Bacterial small subunit ribosomal RNA", at positions 339 to 795 of the family's 1533-position model. The record is from RNAcentral.